UCCGACAUACGCAAGUCUAUAAUUGCGUAUAGUUACCGUGCAUAUCAUCUGCCUUCGGAAUUAAUUCCACAAACCGCUCGUCACUUCGACAUAUAUAAAAGUUAAAUAUAGAAGCAUAUAUUUUCAAUGGAAAAGGAUAUUGUCUAUUAGAAAGUCACUAUAACAAAGACAAAGUAUUCUGCUAUUGGAAAAGUUCGCCGAGGCACCGGCACCGGCACCGGAUUGGACCUUACGUAAGCACUUAGCAACUUUGCACCAUCGACUUUGGAACGACUCUAGAAUGCAGUGAAAGAUUUGUGUUGCAAGCUCCACUUGUUAUAUUUCCACGCGUACCUACUAACUUUAGCUUUUUUGGAGUUUCGC
Molecule: long non-coding RNA, 363 nt
Organism: Papilio polytes (common Mormon)
Lineage: Eukaryota; Metazoa; Arthropoda; Insecta; Lepidoptera; Papilionidae
Exons: 3
Source: RefSeq, a predicted model, not a curated record